Molecule: ribosomal RNA, 481 nt
Filed under: uncultured bacterium
Lineage: Bacteria
Description: partial 16S ribosomal RNA
Rfam family: Bacterial small subunit ribosomal RNA
Source: RNAcentral
GACGAACGCUGGCGGCGUGCUUAACACAUGCAAGUCGAACGCUGAAGCCCUUUCGGGGGUGGAUGAGUGGCGAACGGGUGAGUAACACGUGGGUAAUCUGCCCUGCACUCUGGGAUAAGCCUUGGAAACGGGGUCUAAUACCGGAUAGGACACAUCGCCGCAUGGUGUGUGUGUGGAAAGUUCCGGCGGUGCAGGUUGAGCCCGCGGCCUAUCAGCUUGUUGGUGGGGUGAUGGCCUACCAAGGCGACGACGGGUAGCCGGCCUGAGAGGGUGACCGGCCACACGGGGACUGAGACACGGCCUAGACUGCUACGGGAGGCAGCAGUGGGGAAUCUUGCGCAAUGGGCGAAAGCCUGACGCAGCAACGCCGCGUGGGGGAUGACGGCCUUCGGGUUGUAAACCUCUUUCGACCGGGACGAAGGGUGACUGACGGUACCGGUAGAAGAAGCACCGGCUAACUACGUGCCAGCCGCCGCCGUAA